UGGAGUGGAGAGGUUUGGAAAGCAGCCGCUCCCUAAAAUAAACAGCACCAAACGGGGCGGAAAGCACUCCCUGACUUUUCAGCCGAAUCUUCGGGUCCAAGAGGCCCCGGGUUCGAAUCCCGGCACUCCGACCA
RNAcentral lists this transfer RNA (134 nucleotides) under Oscillospiraceae bacterium. Its description in RNAcentral is "tRNA-OTHER". The record is from RNAcentral. Lineage: Bacteria; Bacillati; Bacillota; Clostridia; Eubacteriales; Oscillospiraceae.